RNAcentral lists this ribosomal RNA (464 nucleotides) under uncultured bacterium. RNAcentral describes it as "bacterial SSU rRNA". It matches the Rfam family "Bacterial small subunit ribosomal RNA", at positions 339 to 796 of the family's 1533-position model. The record is from RNAcentral.
CUACGGGAGGCAGCAGUGGGGAAUCUUGCGCAAUGGGCGAAAGCCUGACGCAGCGACGCCGCGUGAGUGAUGAAGGCCUUAGGGUUGUAAAGCUCUGUGGAGAGGGACGAAUAAGGCAGGUUUAACAGACCUGUUGAUGACGGUACCUCUUUAGCAAGCACCGGCUAACUCUGUGCCAGCAGCCGCGGUAAGACAGAGGGUGCAAACGUUGUUCGGAUUUACUGGGCGUAAAGCGCGUGUAGGCGGCCAAGCAAGUCGGAUGUGAAAUCCCGGGGCUCAACCCCGGACGUGCAUUCGAAACUGCCUGGCUAGAAUCUCGGAGAGGGUAGCGGAAUUCUGGGUGUAGAGGUGAAAUUCGUAGAUAUCCAGAGGAACACCGGUGGCGAAGGCGGCUACCUGGACGAGUAUUGACGCUGAGACGCGAAAGUGUGGGGAGCAAACAGGAUUAGAUACCCUAGUAGUCC